Molecule: small nuclear RNA, 202 nt
Filed under: Zalophus californianus (California sea lion)
Lineage: Eukaryota; Metazoa; Chordata; Mammalia; Carnivora; Otariidae
Also listed under: 1 other name
Description: U2 spliceosomal RNA (ENSZCAG00015002752.1)
Rfam family: U2 spliceosomal RNA (bases 1-82)
Source: RNAcentral
AUUGCUUCUCGGCCUUUUGGCUAAGAUCAAGUGUAGUAUAUUUCCACUAUGAGAAUCCCUAUUAUUCAGGGUUGCAAAUUUCCCGAAGCCUAGAUAGCUGUUUAGCAAAUGUCAGGUGUUUUUUGGUACAUGUCAGAGAGUUAGGGGUAGGUACUGAUUUUCUGCUACCAUCUCUAUGAACUAAUGACCAGAUGGCUAGUUA